CCACACCUAAAAACAUCUUUCCACGUGAACCGUUUGUGACAUUGUUGGGCUUGUCUUUCUUUCGGGGAGGAUGAGCUAUCUGUAAACUUGUCAAACCCCUUUCUUUUUUUAUAAAACUGAAACAUACUGUGGGGACGAAAGUCUCUGCUUUAAACUAGAUAGCAACUUUCAGCAGUGGAUGUCUAGGCUCGCACAUCGAUGAAGAACGCUGCGAACUGCGAUACGUAAUGCGAAUUGCAGGAUUCAGUGAGUCAUCGAAAUUUUGAACGCAUAUUGCACUUUCGGGUUAUGCCUGGAAGUAUGUCUGUAUCAGUGUCCGUACACUAAACUUGCCUCCUUUCGCGUCGUGUAGUCGGCGCGUGUGGGAAUUGCAGCAGAUGUGAGGUGUCUUGUGGUCCUUCGCGGACAGCAAGUCCCUUGAAAGUCGGACGCGUAUCUUUGCGUGCGUUGGGUGCUGGUGGGCUGUGGGACGCGUCUGUUGACGAGUCUGGCGACCUUUGGCGCGUGCAUGCUUGGGCACUGUGUAUUGGCGGUAUGUUAGGCUGCGUUUCGUGCGCGGCUUUGGCAAUGCAGCUGAUGCGUGUGUUUGGGCGGCGUGUGUUGUAUGGGUGAACCGGAUGGUCGACGGGUUUGACUCGUGUUUCGUUAGUCUGUAGCCGGUGUUCUGUAUCGCGCGCGGAGUGUGUCACCAUUUGGGAAUCUGUGUGGUCUUUCGUAGUAUCACAUCUCAUUUGGACCUGAUAUCAGACAAG
Molecule: ribosomal RNA, 752 nt
Filed under: Phytopythium chamaehyphon
Lineage: Eukaryota; Oomycota; Peronosporomycetes; Pythiales; Pythiaceae
Description: eukaryotic LSU rRNA
Rfam family: 5.8S ribosomal RNA (bases 164-318)
Source: RNAcentral